AUUGAACGCUGGCGGCAGGCCUAACACAUGCAAGUCGAACGGUAACAGGAAGAAGCUUGCUUCUUUGCUGACGAGUGGCGGACGGGUGAGUAAUGUCUGGGAAACUGCCUGAUGGAGGGGGAUAACUACUGGAAACGGUAGCUAAUACCGCAUAACGUCGCAAGACCAAAGAGGGGGACCUUCGGGCCUCUUGCCAUCGGAUGUGCCCAGAUGGGAUUAGCUAGUAGGUGGGGUAACGGCUCACCUAGGCGACGAUCCCUAGCUGGUCUGAGUGGAUGACCAGCCACACUGGAACUGGGACACGGUCCAGACUCCUACGGGAGGCAGCAGUGGGGAAUAUUGCACAAUGGGCGCAAGCCUGAUGCAGCCAUGCCGCGUGUAUGAAGAAGGCCUUCGGGUUGUAAAGUACUUUCAGCGGGGAGGAAGGGAGUGAAGUUAAUACCUUUGCUCAUUGACGUUACCCGCAGAAGAAGCACCGGCUAACUCCGUGCCAGCAGCCGCGGAUAUACGGAGGGUGCAAGCGUUAUUCGGAAUUACUGGGCGUAAAGCGCACGGCAGGCGGUUUGUUAAAUCAAAUGUGCAAUCCCCCGGGCUCAACCUGGGAACUGCAUCCUGAUACUGGCAAAGCUUUGAAUCUCGUAGAAGGGGGGGUAAAAUUCCAGGUGUAGCGGUAAAUGCCGUAGAGAUCUGGAGGAAUACCGGUGGCGAAGGCGGCCCCCUGGACGCA
RNAcentral lists this ribosomal RNA (727 nucleotides) under uncultured bacterium. RNAcentral's name for it is "bacterial SSU rRNA". It matches the Rfam family "Bacterial small subunit ribosomal RNA", at positions 28 to 737 of the family's 1533-position model. The record is from RNAcentral.